Molecule: ribosomal RNA, 463 nt
Filed under: Vreelandella stevensii
Lineage: Bacteria; Pseudomonadati; Pseudomonadota; Gammaproteobacteria; Oceanospirillales; Halomonadaceae
Description: partial 16S ribosomal RNA
Rfam family: Bacterial small subunit ribosomal RNA
Source: RNAcentral
CCUACGGGGGCUGCAGUGGGGAAUAUUGGACAAUGGGCGAAAGCCUGAUCCAGCCAUGCCGCGUGUGUGAAGAAGGCCUUCGGGUUGUAAAGCACUUUCAGUGGGGAAGAAAGCCUUGGGGCUAAUACCCUCGAGGAAGGACAUCACCCACAGAAGAAGCACCGGCUAACUCCGUGCCAGCAGCCGCGGUAAUACGGAGGGUGCGAGCGUUAAUCGGAAUUACUGGGCGUAAAGCGCGCGUAGGCGGUCUGAUAAGCCGGUUGUGAAAGCCCCGGGCUCAACCUGGGAACGGCAUCCGGAACUGACAGGCUAGAGUGCAGGAGAGGAAGGUAGAAUUCCCGGUGUAGCGGUGAAAUGCGUAGAGAUCGGGAGGAAUACCAGUGGCGAAGGCGGCCUUCUGGACUGACACUGACGCUGAGGUGCGAAAGCGUGGGUAGCAAACAGGAUUAGAUACCCCGUAGUC